UGCGGGGGGGGUAAGCGUUGUUCGGAAUUACUGGGCGUAAAGGGCUCGUAGGCGGCCAACUAAGUCAGACGUGAAAUCCCUCAGCUUAACUGGGGAACUGCGUCUGAUACUGGAUGGCUUGGAUUCGGGAGAGGAAUGCGGAAUUCCAGGUGUAGCGGUGAAAUGCGUAGAUAUCUGGAGGAACACCGGUGGCGAAGGCGGCAUUCUGGACCGAUAUUGACGCUGAGGAGCGAAAGCCGGGGGAGCAAACGGG
Molecule: ribosomal RNA, 253 nt
Filed under: uncultured bacterium
Lineage: Bacteria
Description: partial 16S ribosomal RNA
Rfam family: Bacterial small subunit ribosomal RNA
Source: RNAcentral